UCAAGUGAAAAAGAGAGAGAGCGACGUGAACUAAUUGUGGAGAAGAGGGGGUGUUAUUUCGAGAUAACUCUGGGUUAAGGUCAGCGGGGUUGUUUCUAAAUGACAGUCAGCCUUGCGCUUGAUUUAGGCGCUGUUGAAGCGGCUCAGCAUUAUGCUUCUUUUAUGCGGAUAGUGACAUUGCUGGGACACUUUGACACCGAUGUCCUAAGAACGGAAUAAUCAAACUGAACCUGCUUCGCGUUGUUUUAUGUGACCAAGUAGUUUGUUUCUGGAGAAAACGAGCCAAAUGAUGUCAGGAAAGCAGUACAAUGGUCAAGAAGUCAGCUGCUGCAUCAAAUAUUUCAUAUUUGGAUUUAACAUAAUAUUUUGGUUGCUUGGGGUGGCUUUCCUUGGGAUCGGAUUAUGGGCAUGGAGUGAGAAGGGAGUUCUGUCUAACAUCUCGUCCAUCACGGAUCUGGGUGGAUUUGAUCCAGUGUGGUUGUUCAUGGUAGUUGGAGGGGUGAUGUUCAUCCUGGGUUUCACCGGCUGUAUCGGGGCCUUGAGGGAAAACACCUUACUGCUCAAAUUUUUUUCGGUGUUUCUGGGGAUAAUCUUCUUCCUGGAGCUGACUGCUGGUAUCCUGGCCUUUGUCUUUAAAGACUGGAUCAAAGAUCAGCUCAACUUUUUCAUCAACAACAACAUACGAGCCUACAGAGAUGACAUUGACUUGCAGAACCUCAUCGACUUCACUCAGGAAUAUUGGGAAUGCUGUGGGGCGUUUGGAGCAGAUGACUGGAACCUCAACGUCUACUUCAACUGCACAGACAGCAACCCCAGCCGAGAAAAAUGUGGCGUGCCCUUCUCCUGUUGCACCAAAGACCCAGCGGAGGAUGUUAUCAACACACAGUGUGGAUAUGAUGUUCGGGCAAAAUUGGUCACAGAGCAGGCGGCAUACAUUCAUGUCAAAGGCUGUGUGCCGCAGUUUGAGAAAUGGCUAAAGGAAAACCUGACGGUAGUGGCUGGGAUCUUCAUCGGCGUCGCUCUGCUGCAGAUAUUUGGAAUAUGCCUUGCACAGAAUUUAAUCAGCGAUAUUGAAGCUGUGAGAGCCAGCUGGGUGCCGCCCCCCUCUUACGUCACCCGCCGCCCCCCGUCCCACUCCAGCAAGAAAGCCUCGGUGUACUGCUGAGGGAGGUUGGCCUGUUUGUUCACAUGAAGUGGCAGCUAGUCGUUCAGACACUCACAGGCCUAUGCCAGCACGAUGAAGGUAGAGAAUGAUGAACACAAGAUGCCAAGUGCACUGGAUCGUGUGUGUGUGCACGUAACCUUUUUCCAUCUGUAAAUAGUGCUAUUUUUUCAAAACACUUGUUUUGUGUAAUGUGAAGAAACGUCUGUGUCAAGUGUCACAGAGUUGCGUUAAACAACAACAAAAAAAUCCACCACUGCAAAAGCAUUGCAAAAAGCAUAAUUCAAAACUCAUUCUGUCACUUUGACAAAAAGUAAACUAACA
Cyprinus carpio (common carp) is the source of this 1486-nucleotide RNA transcript. It is a transcript of the gene named tetraspanin-5-like, with no coding region annotated. NCBI's taxonomy places the organism in Eukaryota, Metazoa, Chordata, Actinopteri, Cypriniformes, Cyprinidae. The transcript is spliced from 11 exons. The record is from RefSeq and is a predicted model, not a curated record.